AUUGAACGCUGGCGGCAGGCUUAACACAUGCAAGUCGAGCGAGGGAAGGUAGCUUGCUACCGGACCUAGCGGCGGACGGGUGAGUAAUGCUUAGGAAUCUGCCUAUUAGUGGGGGACAACAUCUCGAGAGGGAUGCUAAUACCGCAUACGUCCUACGGGAGAAAGCAGGGGAUCUUCGGACCUUGCGCUAAUAGAUGAGCCUAAGUCGGAUUAGCUAGUUGGUGGGGUAAAGGCCUACCAAGGCGACGAUCUGUAGCGGGUCUGAGAGGAUGAUCCGCCACACUGGGACUGAGACACGGCCCAGACUCCUACGGGCGGCAGCAGUGGGGAAUAUUGGACAAUGGGGGGAACCCUGAUCCAGCCAUGCCGCGUGUGUGAAGAAGGCCUUAUGGUUGUAAAGCACUUUAAGCGAGGAGGAGGCUACUCUAGUUAAUACCUAGGGAUAGUGGACGUUACUCGCAGAAUAAGCACCGGCUAACUCUGUGCCAGCAGCCGCGGUAA
Molecule: ribosomal RNA, 501 nt
Filed under: uncultured bacterium
Lineage: Bacteria
Description: partial 16S ribosomal RNA
Rfam family: Bacterial small subunit ribosomal RNA
Source: RNAcentral